RNAcentral lists this ribosomal RNA (599 nucleotides) under uncultured Planctomycetia bacterium. RNAcentral describes it as "bacterial SSU rRNA". It matches the Rfam family "Bacterial small subunit ribosomal RNA", at positions 939 to 1532 of the family's 1533-position model. Lineage: Bacteria; Pseudomonadati; Planctomycetota; Planctomycetia. The record is from RNAcentral.
AUGUGGUUUAAUUCGAAGCAACGCGAAGAACCUUACCCGGGUUUGAAAUGUACGGAUUAGGAUGCUGAAAGGUGUCUGACGCCGCAAGGUGGAACGUACACAGGUGUUGCAUGGCUGUCGUCAGCUCGUGUCGUGAGAUGUCGGGUUAAGUCCCUUAACGAGCGAAACCCUUAUCCUUAGUUGCCAGCGGGUAAAGCCGGGGACUCUAGGGAGACUGCCGUUGUUAAAACGGAGGAAGGUGGGGAUGACGUCAAGUCAUCAUGGCCUUUAUGUCCGGGGCUACACACGUGCCACAAUGGCCGGUACAAAGGGACGCUAAGCCGAGAGGUAGAGCAAAUCCCAGAAAGCCGGUCCCAGUUCGGAUUGGGGGCUGCAAUUCGCCCCCAUGAAGUCGGAAUCGCUAGUAAUCGCGGAUCAGCUACGCCGCGGUGAAUAUGUUCCUGAGCCUUGUACACACCGCCCGUCAAGCCACGGAAGUUGACAGUACCCGAAGUCGUGAACCCAACCGCAAGGAGGGAAGCGCCCACGGUAAGGUCGAUGACUGGGACUAAGUCGUAACAAGGUAGCCGUAGGGGAACCUGUGGCUGGAUCACCUCCUU